RNAcentral lists this ribosomal RNA (504 nucleotides) under uncultured bacterium. RNAcentral describes it as "partial 16S ribosomal RNA". It matches the Rfam family "Bacterial small subunit ribosomal RNA", at positions 30 to 523 of the family's 1533-position model. The record is from RNAcentral.
AUUGAACGCUGGCGGCAGGCCUAACACAUGCAAGUCGAACGGUAGCACAGAGAGCUUGCUCUCGGGUGACGAGUGGCGGACGGGUGAGUAAUGUCUGGGAAACUGCCCGAUGGAGGGGGAUAACUACUGGAAACGGUAGCUAAUACCGCAUAACGUCUUCGGACCAAAGUGGGGGACCUUCGGGCCUCACACCAUCGGAUGUGCCCAGAUGGGAUUAGCUAGUAGGUGGGGUAAUGGCUCACCUAGGCGACGAUCCCUAGCUGGUCUGAGAGGAUGACCAGCCGCACUGGAACUGAGACACGGUCCAGACUCCGACGGGAGGCAGCAGUGGGGAAUAUUGCACAAUGGGCGCAAGCCUGAUGCAGCCAUGCCGCGUGUAUGAAGAAGGCCUUCGGGUUGUAAAGUACUUUCAGCGGGGAGGAAGGCGUUAAGGUUAAUAACCUUGGCGAUUGACGUUACCCGCAGAAGAAGCACCGGCUAACUCCGUGCCAGCCGCCGCGGUAA